UACAGAGGGUGCAAGCGUUAAUCGGAGUUACUGGGCGUAAAGGGCGCGUAGGCGGAUAUAUAAGUGAGAUGUGAAAUCCCUGGGCUUAACCUAGGAACUGCAUUUUAUACUGUAUGUCUGGAGUACUGUAGAGGGUAGUGGAAUUUCCGGUGUAGCGGUGAAAUGCGUAGAGAUCGGAAGGAACACCAGUGGCGAAGGCGGCUACCUGGACAGAUACUGACGCUGAAGCGCGAGAGCGUGGGGAGCAAACAGG
Molecule: ribosomal RNA, 253 nt
Filed under: uncultured bacterium
Lineage: Bacteria
Description: partial 16S ribosomal RNA
Rfam family: Bacterial small subunit ribosomal RNA
Source: RNAcentral